Micromonas sp. is the source of this 83-nucleotide transfer RNA. It matches the Rfam family "tRNA". Rfam says of the family: Transfer RNA (tRNA) molecules are approximately 80 nucleotides in length. Their secondary structure includes four short double-helical elements and three loops (D, anti-codon, and T loops). The record is from Rfam. NCBI's taxonomy places the organism in Eukaryota, Viridiplantae, Chlorophyta, Mamiellophyceae, Mamiellales, Mamiellaceae.
GGACGGGUGUCUGAGUGGUUUAAGGUCUCAGUCUUGAAAACUGACGUGCAUAAGUACCGUGGGUUCGAAUCCCACCUCGUCCG